GGCGCACGGGUGAGUAACGCGUAUGCAACCUACCUAUAACACAAUGAUAGCUCCCGGAAACGGGAAUUAAUACUUGAUGACAUUCAAAGAUGGCAUCAUCAAUGAAUCAAAGUUCCGGCGGUUAUAGAUGGGCAUGCGUGACAUUAGCUAGUUGGUGAGGUAGAGGCUCACCAAGGCGACGAUGUCUAGGGGGUCUGAGAGGAUGAUCCCCCACACUGGUACUGAGACACGGACCAGACUCCUACGGGAGGCAGCAGUGAGGAAUAUUGCGCAAUGGAGGAAACUCUGACGCAGCCAUCCCGCGUGCAGGAUUGACGGCCCUAUGGGUUGUAAACUGCUUUUCUAUACCAAGAAACACCGAUACGUGUAUCGGUUUGCCGGUAGUAUAGGAAUAAGCAUCGGCUAACUCCGUGCCAGCAGCCGCGGUAAUACGGAGGAUGCAAGCGUUAUCCGGAAUCACUGGGUUUAAAGGGUGCGCAGGCGGAAUAGUAAGUCAGAGGUGAAAGCCCACAGCUCAACUGUGGAAUUGCCUUUGAUACUGUUAUUCUUGAGUGUAGUUGAAGUAGGCGGAAUAUAGCAUGUAGCGGUGAAAUGCAUAGAUAUGCUAUAGAACACCAAUCGCGAAGGCAGCUUGCUAAACUAUAACUGACGCUGAGGCACGAAAGCGUGGGGAGCGAACAGGAUUAGAUACCCUGGUAGUCCACGCCGUAAACUAUGAACACUCGCUGUUGGCAAUACACAGUCAGCGGCUGAGCGAAAGCGUUAAGUGUUCCACCUGGGAAGUACGAUCGCAAGGUUGAAACUCAAAGGAAUUGACGGGGGCCCGCACAAGCGGAGGAGCAUGUGGUUUAAUUCGAUGAUACGCGAGGAACCUUACCUGGGCUUAAAUGUAUAUUGACGUACUGAGAAAUCAGUAUUUCUUCGGACAAUUUACAAGGUGCUGCAUGGUUGUCGUCAGCUCGUGCCGUGAGGUGUCGGGUUAAGUCCCAUAACGAGCGCAACCCCUACUUCUAGUUACCAGCAUUUCGGAUGGGGACUCUAGAGGAACUGCCUACGCAAGUAGAGAGGAAGGUGGGGAUGACGUCAAAUCAGCACGGCCCUUAUGUCCAGGGCUACACACGCGCUACAAUGGCCGGUACAGAGGGCAGCUACAUAGCAAUAUGAUGCUAAUCUC
RNAcentral lists this ribosomal RNA (1174 nucleotides) under uncultured organism. RNAcentral's name for it is "bacterial SSU rRNA". It matches the Rfam family "Bacterial small subunit ribosomal RNA", at positions 97 to 1275 of the family's 1533-position model. The record is from RNAcentral.